This 495-nucleotide ribosomal RNA is filed under the name uncultured bacterium. Its description in RNAcentral is "partial 16S ribosomal RNA". It matches the Rfam family "Bacterial small subunit ribosomal RNA", at positions 28 to 507 of the family's 1533-position model. The record is from RNAcentral.
GAUGAACGCUGGCGGCGUGCCUAAUACAUGCAAGUAGAACGCUGAAGGAGGAGCUUGCUCUUCUGGAUGAGUUGCGAACGGGUGAGUAACGCGUAGGUAACCUGCCUGGUAGCGGGGGAUAACUAUUGGAAACGAUAGCUGAUACCGCAUGACAACAGUUAUUGCAUGAUAACUGUUUAAAAGGGGCAACUGCUCCACUACCAGAUGGACCUGCGUUGUAUUAGCUAGUUGGUGAGGUAACGGCUCACCAAGGCGACGAUACAUAGCCGACCUGAGAGGGUGAUCGGCCACACUGGGACUGAGACACGGCCCAGACUCCUACGGGAGGCAGCAGUAGGGAAUCUUCGGCAAUGGACGGAAGUCUGACCGAGCAACGCCGCGUGAGUGAAGAAGGUUUUCGGAUCGUAAAGCUCUGUUGUAAGAGAAGAACGAGUGUGAGAGUGGAAAGUUCACACUGUGACGGUAUCUGACCAGAAAGGGACGGCUAACUACGUG